Equus caballus (horse) is the source of this 2788-nucleotide long non-coding RNA. The record is from Ensembl. NCBI's taxonomy places the organism in Eukaryota, Metazoa, Chordata, Mammalia, Perissodactyla, Equidae.
GCAGGAUUAAUAAAAUUAAAAGAACACAGAAACAUAUUUUGAGACGCAUUUUUGGGACUGAGAUUAAAACAGAGUGAUGAAUAAGAAGCACUCUUGGGAGAAGCCGAGGAAUAUUUUAAAGGUGGAAACUGCUACCUCGGAGAUUUUAAAUUUGGCACAUUCGACAUUUCUCAAGGAGUCUCUACAUGCUACAAAUAGCCAUGACAUAAAGACCACAGAGAACUGUAUCAGAGGGAGCCAGGUUAGCUUUCUGAGUUCUGAGGCCUCGCCCUUCAGGGAUGUUGGACUGCAUGCUCCAGUUGAGGCCAGCACCGAGCAAACCAACUCUAGAUGGGGACCAACAUGCACUCUCAAAAGGUGGGAGGUUAAGUAAAUUUUUUUGGCAUUUUUAAGUCUUUAAAGAUUCACUGUGAUAUUUUGACUACCUACCCCAAGUCUGGAAAAUUGCUCAGUUUAUGGGCCCGUGGUCUAUAUGCUUAGCUCUUUAUGGUACUUAUAUCCACUGAAUGAAGAUAUGUGCUGAUUUUGAUAUUACUACACUUAACCUUCCAUGUAAUAGGUGCUUUAGAAAUUAUUGUUCAUUAUGUAUUCUUCCAGGAAUUUAAUAUAAUCUAGGGCCAUGGUGUUAUAUAACACAGAGCAAUCAACGUUUUCUCUCCUGUCAUGAGUUUAAUUGCUCAAAAUCCGUAUCUUAAAAUUUAUGGAAAAGUGAGAACAGUGCUAAGGUAAGUAAGGAGGAAAAGAACUUUUGAAAAUAAAGCAAAAAGAAAUCUGACUGGUGUUCAGAUUCUGUUUAAAACAUUAACCGCGCUUUGGGUGUUUCUAGUAAAUAUUUAGCUGUCUACUUGUCAAUGUCUUUUUGAAAAUAAAGUCAACAGAGAAAACAGAUUCUAAAACUAAAGUAAGGGAGGAAAUAAUUGGUGCACAAUAUCUUCUCCCCAGCUAAUCUACAUAUGUGUCUAUCCCUGGGCCCUGAUGACUUGCUUUCCACAGUACAGUAAGAAUUGAUUGAAGCAUCAGGAAACCAGCUGUGUGCAGAGACUUCAUAGAGAGCUGGUGAGGUAUUUAAGACUGGGGGUGGACAUGCAGGUAAGGGAAAAAUCCUACGUAUUACUUCUCUUCUAUUUAAAACAAAGGAGAGAUUACUCUGGAAAAUACCAUUGCAUAAAAUUAACUUCUCUGCCCUGAUAAGGAAGAGGAUGGGAGAGUAAAGGCAGAAGAACUGUCACCUGAUCAGCUGUCUUCUUUGGCUCCUUUGGAUGAUCUCAGUCUCUUCCUCCUCAGCACCCUCCAGCACUGUAAGCAUAACUUAUGCAGGACAUGUUGCACUGUGAUUGUAGUUAAGAGACUGAGAUACAGCUCUGUAUCUCUGGCCCAUUGCACUAUGACUGGCACUCAGUAAAUGUUGAAUAUAAAAUGCAUAAAGUCAACUUGAAGACAGAAUUUAAGAGCUAUAAGAUACAGCAAAUGCAACCACAUCCAAAAUAAACAUGGAAAGGUGAGACUUCAGUUAGACGCAGAUUCUGUUCUGGGUCCAGUGGAACAGCUGAAGGGACAAAGAAGAGGUUUCAGCACCCCGAAUCCUCCGUCCUCCAUGAGGAUGCUAAAGCCAUGCUGGCCACAUUAUGCACACAGAGUUGGAAUCUGGACCUGGGGAAAACUAAAGGCUUACAUAUCCUUGUCUACUUGAACUUGAGGUCCUAUUUCUAAUUAUAGUGGUCCCAAGACACAUGAACAAGUGGAAAGAAUAUAGAACUGAAAGUUAAAGCUACAUGGAUUCUCUGCUUAGCCCUAUCACAGUAGCCUUGCACGAUACAUUUUACCUCUCAGAUCAUUAGCUCCCUCAACUAUAACAUGAGAGAAUUAGACUAGAUGAACUCUUAAAUUCCCUACAGGGAAACUCUAGAAUUGCAUAGGCCCUCUCUCUGUCUAAGUUCCAUUCUUUUACAAAAAUACUUUCUGAAAAGUUAAGAUAUAGAUGGAAUUUGGAAUUAGAAAAUAAAUAGAACACCUUAGCUGAUGUUAAAAACAAUUUAGAGUUUGAUAUACAAAAAUGAAAGAAGAAAAAUGUUAAGAGUCUCAGCAAGGUGGAAUGAAUUAAUCAUAGUAGACUGGGUCAUGAAGAGGGGAUCCCCAUUAAUUGUCUCUAAAAUCUCCUGAUCAUUGAAUAGAACAAAAACAUUUUGACAAGAUUCUUAGGCAAUAAGAAAGCAUGUUCUUGGGAAGGGGCAAGAAGUAUCCAUCCCAUUUCAUACAAAAGGAAACCAACAUGCGCAAAGGAAAGAUAACUCACUCAGGAUCACAUUGUGAAGAUGAAGUCAGGCCUGACACCAAGUUUUCCUGCCUCCCACCCAAUUAUGUGUCUGAAUUUGUUGGAAACUACCACUGCUUCCAAUGAACUUGAGAAUGUGGUACCAUGGCCCAGGGGAAUUGGGUAGGCCCCUGGCCAGCUGGACUUUCAUAAGCUCUGCUGAAAUCACACUUGCUAAAAAUUUCUGUAAUGUUGAUCACUAGAGAAAGUGACUACAUGUACAACCCAGAGAGACUCUAGAAGAUUUCCUACGGUCAAAGACACUUCACUGGGCCUUGGUCGAGAAAUCUGGUUUCCAUUCCUUCAUCUAUCACUUUAGGAUUUUGCACAUCAAUUUCCUUUAGGAAUCAAAAGGCUUAUUAGAGAAAUUUAUAAAGUGUAAACUCAUCCUAGAUCAAUAUACAUGAAAUACUAUCAGAAGAAUUUUUGUUUGAUAUUACUAAUUAUCUAAAGAAAUUACUUUUAUCUACUUUUUAA